This 194-nucleotide microRNA precursor is filed under the name Oryza brachyantha (malo sina). RNAcentral's name for it is "MIR812 microRNA precursor family". It matches the Rfam family "MIR812 microRNA precursor family". Lineage: Eukaryota; Viridiplantae; Streptophyta; Magnoliopsida; Poales; Poaceae. The record is from Rfam by way of RNAcentral.
AAUAAACGAAUUUAUGAGUUUUUGGAUAGAAUUUCUGACUCUUCAUCUUAUUUGAAACUUUUUAAGAUUAAUAUUUUUAUUAUUAUUACAUGAUAAAACAUAAAUAGUAAUUUACGCGUGACUAAUUUUUUUAAUUUUUUAAUAAAAUUUUUAAAUAAGACGGAUGGUCAAAUGCUCAACCUAGAGAACUCAAA